Molecule: ribosomal RNA, 468 nt
Filed under: uncultured bacterium
Lineage: Bacteria
Description: bacterial SSU rRNA
Rfam family: Bacterial small subunit ribosomal RNA
Source: RNAcentral
ACUCCUACGGGAGGCAGCAGUGGGGAAUAUUGCACAAUGGGGAACNAACCUGNAGCCAUGCCGCGUGUGUGAAGAAGGCCUUCGGGUUGUAAAGCACUUUCAGUAGGGAGGAAGGUAGUGUAGUUAACACCUGCACUAUUUGACGUUACCUACAGAAGAAGCACCGGCUAACUCCGUGCCAGCAGCCGCGGUAAUACGGAGGGUGCGAGCGUUAAUCGGAAUUACUGGGCGUAAAGCGCAUGCAGGCGGCCUGUUAAGUCAGAUGUGAAAGCCCGGGGCUUAACCUCGGAAUUGCAUUUGAAACUGGCAGACUAGAGUACUGUAGAGGGGGGUAGAAUUUCAGGUGUAGCGGUGAAAUGCGUAGAGAUCUGAAGGAAUACCGGUGGCGAAGGCGGCCCCUGGACAGAUACUGACACUCAGAUGCGAAAGCGUGGGAGCAAACAGGAUUAGAUACCCUGGUAGACAUCA